This 1189-nucleotide long non-coding RNA is filed under the name Olea europaea subsp. europaea. The record is from RNAcentral. Lineage: Eukaryota; Viridiplantae; Streptophyta; Magnoliopsida; Lamiales; Oleaceae.
CUUGGGGUAUAUUGUUAACCAAAGAGGAAUUGAAGCCAAUCCAGUAAAGAUAACGACCUUGCUGGAAAUGAGAUCACCUCAGAACCAAAGGAGGUCCAAAGCCUCAAUGGUCAAAUAGCCGCAUUCAGUCACUUUAUCUCCAGGGCCACUGAUAAGAACUUACCCUUCUUCAAGGUACUUAAGCAAGGAAAGAAGUUCCAAUGGGCUUCUGAGUGCGAAGAAGCCUUCCAGGGGCUGAAAAAGCACCUCGAAGAGGCACCUCUUUUGUCAAAACCUCAACUAAAGGAGUCUCUGCUGCUGUAUUUGACAGUAUCGGACGUGGCGGUUAGCGCUGUUCUAGUCAGAGAAGAAAAUGAGCGAUAGUUGCCAGUAUACUACAUUAGCAAAUCACUCCUCCCAGCUGAAACAUGAUACCCAGACAUAGAGAAAUUGGCACUUACCCUCAUCACAGCCUCAAGGAAACUGAGGCCAUACUUCCAGGCCCACUCGAUUGACGUUCUUACCAACUUCCCAUUGAAGCAGGUGCUGUAGAGAACAGAUGCAUCAGGGCGCCUACUAAAAUGGGCAAUCGAGCUGAGCGAGUUCCACAUAUUAUUUUGACCUCGGCGUGCUAUAAAGGGCCAGGCCCUUGCAGAUUUUGUGGUUGAGUUUGCCGAAGCCUCGAAAAUGGAGGCAAUAAUGGAACUAGCCAAACCCCCAACCUGAAAAUUGUUCGUAGAUGGAUCCUCAGGAGAGGCAGGCUCCGGGGCAGGAAUAGUUUUGGAAAGCCUAGAGGGUCACAAGCUAAAUUGCACAGUAAGGUUUAGCUUCAAAGCCUCGAACAACGCUGUCGAAUACAAAACCCUUCUAGCGAGCCUUAGACUGGCAAGAGAAAUGCAGGUCAGAAAGUUGAUGGCCAGCAGUGAUUCUCAGCUGAUAGUGAAUCAUGUCAGUGGAAGCUUUGCGGCCAAAGACAACGGCAUGGUCGCAUAUUUGAAAUUGGUUCUGGACCUAGUCCCCCAGUUUGAAAGGUUUGAACUAAUUCAAGUCCCACGCCUAGAGAAUGCACAUACAGACACCUUCUCAAAAUUGGCCAAUAGCAAGGAUUCUGAGUUAUUAAAAGUUGUCCCUAUUGAACACUUGGCGAAGCCUUCCAUUUUCGGAAGAGAAGAGGUACUUUGGAUAGAAGGCACCCCAUUAUGGAUGCAAC